RNAcentral lists this ribosomal RNA (497 nucleotides) under uncultured bacterium. RNAcentral describes it as "partial 16S ribosomal RNA". It matches the Rfam family "Bacterial small subunit ribosomal RNA", at positions 28 to 507 of the family's 1533-position model. The record is from RNAcentral.
GACGAACGCUGGCGGCGUGCCUAAUACAUGCAAGUUGAGCGCUGAAGGUUGGUACUUGUACCGACUGGAUGAGCAGCGGACGGGUGAGUAACGCGUGGGGAAUCUGCCUUUGAGCGGGGGACAACAUUUGGAAACGAAUGCUAAUACCGCAUAAAAACUUUAAACACAAGUUUUAAGUUUGAAAGAUGCAAUUGCAUCACUCAAAGAUGAUCCCGCGUUGUAUUAGCUAGUUGGUGAGGUAAAGGCUCACCAAGGCGAUGAUACAUAGCCGACCUGAGAGGGUGAUCGGCCACAUUGGGACUGAGACACGGCCCAAACUCCUACGGGAGGCAGCAGUAGGGAAUCUUCGGCAAUGGACGAAAGUCUGACCGAGCAACGCCGCGUGAGUGAAGAAGGUUUUCGGAUCGUAAAACUCUGUUGGUAGAGAAGAACGUUGGUGAGAGUGGAAAGCUCAUCAAGUGACGGUAACUACCCAGAAAGGGACGGCUAACUACGUG